CGUAUCCGAUCUCUACAGAUAUCUAUCGGGAUCAACCUUGAACCUUUCUUCUUAUUGUAGAUCCUUUUUCUUCAAGUAGGAUCUCAGCCUAUUGAACCUUUGAUCAACUCUUAAUCUUUGACCGCGAUCUCAACACUUGAACUGCAGUCUUUUUCUUUUUCUUUGAUGUAGAAUCAACCACCCUUCACCUUGGACGUGUGGGAAGAUAGGAUGCCCAACACUU
This 223-nucleotide long non-coding RNA is filed under the name Elaeis guineensis (African oil palm). Its description in RNAcentral is "long non-coding RNA (EGUI_LNC033743)". Lineage: Eukaryota; Viridiplantae; Streptophyta; Magnoliopsida; Arecales; Arecaceae. The record is from RNAcentral.